UGGGGAAUAUUGCACAAUGGAGGGAACUCUGCUGCAGCAACGCCGCGUGCGGGAUGACGGCCUUCGGGUUGUAAACCGCUUUCAGCCAUGACGCAGCUUUUGUGACGGUAGUGGUAGAAGACGCCCCGGCUAACUCCGUGCCACCCGCCGCGGUGAUACGUAGGGUGCGAGCGUUGUCCGGAAUUAUUGGGCGUAAAGGGCUUGUAGGCGGUUUGUCGCGUCGAUAGUGUAAACACGCAGCUUAACUGUGUGCCUGCUGUCGAUACGGGCUGAAUAGAGGGGGGGAGGGGAGAAUGGAAUUCCCGGUGGGGCGGUGGAAUGCGCAGAUAUCGGGAGGAACACCAGUGGCGAAGGCGGUUCUCUGGACCUUUCCUGACGAUGAGGAGCGAAAGCGUGGGUAGCAAACAGG
Molecule: ribosomal RNA, 409 nt
Filed under: Fusobacteriota bacterium
Lineage: Bacteria; Fusobacteriati; Fusobacteriota
Description: Fusobacteria bacterium partial 16S ribosomal RNA
Rfam family: Bacterial small subunit ribosomal RNA
Source: RNAcentral